GGAAAUUAAGUGUUGCGCCCAUCGCUGAGCGGCAGCUCUUCAGGAGAGUCACUAGCCAACGCUUGAGCGUCAACGUUGAGGGGAACCAUGGGUAUCGCGCUCACCGCUGAGCGGUGCCGCUAAGCGCUAGUCUUUUGGGCUGGGCUAGUUUUAGCUUUGUUUUAAUGAACUAUAAAUAGAUUUGUACGACCUUUAGAGGGGAUUAUCUUUCGGCAGAAAGGACGCAAGAAAUAUUCUCUUCACCCUUAGGAGGUAGAUUUUGGAUGCGGAAGCUCUGAUUUACAACAAUUAGGGUUUUAUCUUUCAUUCUUUCCAUUUAUUUCAUCU
RNAcentral lists this long non-coding RNA (327 nucleotides) under Vigna radiata. Its description in RNAcentral is "long non-coding RNA (VRAD_LNC005264)". The record is from RNAcentral. Lineage: Eukaryota; Viridiplantae; Streptophyta; Magnoliopsida; Fabales; Fabaceae.